Molecule: ribosomal RNA, 1492 nt
Filed under: Lactiplantibacillus plantarum
Lineage: Bacteria; Bacillati; Bacillota; Bacilli; Lactobacillales; Lactobacillaceae
Description: partial 16S ribosomal RNA
Rfam family: Bacterial small subunit ribosomal RNA
Source: RNAcentral
UGGCUCAGGACGAACGCUGGCGGCGUGCCUAAUACAUGCAAGUCGAACGAACUCUGGUAUUGAUUGGUGCUUGCAUCAUGAUUUACAUUUGAGUGAGUGGCGAACUGGUGAGUAACACGUGGGAAACCUGCCCAGAAGCGGGGGAUAACACCUGGAAACAGAUGCUAAUACCGCAUAACAACUUGGACCGCAUGGUCCGAGCUUGAAAGAUGGCUUCGGCUAUCACUUUUGGAUGGUCCCGCGGCGUAUUAGCUAGAUGGUGGGGUAACGGCUCACCAUGGCAAUGAUACGUAGCCGACCUGAGAGGGUAAUCGGCCACAUUGGGACUGAGACACGGCCCAAACUCCUACGGGAGGCAGCAGUAGGGAAUCUUCCACAAUGGACGAAAGUCUGAUGGAGCAACGCCGCGUGAGUGAAGAAGGGUUUCGGCUCGUAAAACUCUGUUGUUAAAGAAGAACAUAUCUGAGAGUAACUGUUCAGGUAUUGACGGUAUUUAACCAGAAAGCCACGGCUAACUACGUGCCAGCAGCCGCGGUAAUACGUAGGUGGCAAGCGUUGUCCGGAUUUAUUGGGCGUAAAGCGAGCGCAGGCGGUUUUUUAAGUCUGAUGUGAAAGCCUUCGGCUCAACCGAAGAAGUGCAUCGGAAACUGGGAAACUUGAGUGCAGAAGAGGACAGUGGAACUCCAUGUGUAGCGGUGAAAUGCGUAGAUAUAUGGAAGAACACCAGUGGCGAAGGCGGCUGUCUGGUCUGUAACUGACGCUGAGGCUCGAAAGUAUGGGUAGCAAACAGGAUUAGAUACCCUGGUAGUCCAUACCGUAAACGAUGAAUGCUAAGUGUUGGAGGGUUUCCGCCCUUCAGUGCUGCAGCUAACGCAUUAAGCAUUCCGCCUGGGGAGUACGGCCGCAAGGCUGAAACUCAAAGGAAUUGACGGGGGCCCGCACAAGCGGUGGAGCAUGUGGUUUAAUUCGAAGCUACGCGAAGAACCUUACCAGGUCUUGACAUACUAUGCAAAUCUAAGAGAUUAGACGUUCCCUUCGGGGACAUGGAUACAGGUGGUGCAUGGUUGUCGUCAGCUCGUGUCGUGAGAUGUUGGGUUAAGUCCCGCAACGAGCGCAACCCUUAUUAUCAGUUGCCAGCAUUAAGUUGGGCACUCUGGUGAGACUGCCGGUGACAAACCGGAGGAAGGUGGGGAUGACGUCAAAUCAUCAUGCCCCUUAUGACCUGGGCUACACACGUGCUACAAUGGAUGGUACAACGAGUUGCGAACUCGCGAGAGUAAGCUAAUCUCUUAAAGCCAUUCUCAGUUCGGAUUGUAGGCUGCAACUCGCCUACAUGAAGUCGGAAUCGCUAGUAAUCGCGGAUCAGCAUGCCGCGGUGAAUACGUUCCCGGGCCUUGUACACACCGCCCGUCACACCAUGAGAGUUUGUAACACCCAAAGUCGGUGGGGUAACCUUUUAGGACCAGCCGCCUAAGUGGGACAGAUGAUUAGG